Molecule: ribosomal RNA, 390 nt
Filed under: uncultured bacterium
Lineage: Bacteria
Description: bacterial SSU rRNA
Rfam family: Bacterial small subunit ribosomal RNA
Source: RNAcentral
GACGAACGCUGGCGGCGUGCUUAACACAUGCAAGUCGAGCGGUAAGGCCCUUUCGGGGGUACACGAGCGGCGAACGGGUGAGUAACACGUGGGUGACCUGCCCUCAGCUCUGGGAUAAGCCUGGGAAACCGGGUCUAAUACUGGAUAUGACUCCAUGACGCAUGUUGUGGGGUGGAAAGCCUUGUGCGGCUGAGGAUGGGCCCGCGGCCUAUCAGCUUGUUGGUGGGGUGANGGCCUACCAAGGCGACGACGGGUAGCCGGCCUGAGAGGGCGACCGGCCACACCGGGACUGAGACACGGCCCAGACUCCUACGGGAGGCAGCAGUGGGGAAUCUUGCGCAAUGGGCGAAAGCCUGACGCAGCGACGCCGCGUGAGGGAUGACGGCCUGG